RNAcentral lists this ribosomal RNA (1197 nucleotides) under Ditylenchus environmental sample. RNAcentral describes it as "SSU rRNA". It matches the Rfam family "Eukaryotic small subunit ribosomal RNA", at positions 142 to 1360 of the family's 1831-position model. Lineage: Eukaryota; Metazoa; Nematoda; Chromadorea; Rhabditida; Anguinidae. The record is from RNAcentral.
GGAUAACUGUGGUAAUUCUAGAGCUAAUACAUGCACCUAUGUUCUGACCUCACGGAAAGAAUGCACUUAUUAGAACAAAACCAAGCGACUUCGGUCGGCUUUUGUUGACUCAUGAUAACUCAGCUGAUCGCAUGGUCUUGUACCAGCGACGUGUCAUUCAAGUAUCUGCCUUAUCAACUUUCGACGGUAGUGUAGCCGACUACCGUGGUGGUGACGGGUAACGGAGGAUAAGGGUUUGACUCCGGAGAAGGGGCCUGAGAAAUGGCCACUACGUCUAAGGAUGGCAGCAGGCGCGCAAAUUACCCACUCUCAGAACGAGGAGGUAGUGACGAGAAAUAACGAGACCGUUCUCUACGAGGCCGGUCAUCGGAAUGGGUACAAUCUAAACCCUUUAACGAGUAUCUAUGAGAGGGCAAGUCUGGUGCCAGCAGCCGCGGUAAUUCCAGCUCUCAAAAUGCAUAGAAUCAUUGCUGCGGUUAAAAAGCUCGUAGUUGGAUUUGUGCUAUGGACUCGGUCCACUUUCGGGUGCGUACUGUGCUCCUCGGCUUUUCUGCUGGUUUUCUCGUCGUGGCUUUAAUCGGCUGCGGCGGGUGGCUGGUGAUUUUACUUUGAACAAAUCAGAGUGCUCMAAACAAGCGUUUCGCUUGAAUGUUCUUGCAUGGAAUAAUAGAAGAGGAUUUCGGUUCUAUUUUAUUGGUUUUAUAGACCGAUAUAAUGGUUAAGAGAGACAAACGGGGGCAUUUGUAUCGCUGCGUGAGAGGUGAAAUUCUUGGACCGCAGCGAGACRAACUACMGCGAAAGCAUUUGCCAAGAAUGUCUUCAUUAAUCAAGAACGAAAGUCAGAGGUUCGAAGGCGAUCAGAUACCGCCCUAGUUCUGACCGUAAACGAUGCCAACUAGCGAUCUGCCGGCGGAUUUUUUGCCCUGGUAGGGAGCUCCCCGGAAACGAAAGUUUUCCGGUUCCGGGGGAAGUAUGGUUGCAAAGCUGAAACUUAAAGGAAUUGACGGAAGGGCACCACCAGGAGUGGAGCCUGCGGCUUAAUUUGACUCAACACGGGGAAACUCACCCGGCCCGGACACCGUAAGGAUUGACAGAUUGAUAGCUUUUUCAUGAUUUGGUGGAUGGUGGUGCAUGGCCGUUCUUAGUUCGUGGAGCGAUUUGUCUGGUUUAUUCCGAUAACGAGCGAGACUCGAGCCU